UACGGGGGGGGCAAGCGUUGUUCGGAAUUACUGGGCGUAAAGGGCUCGUAGGCGGCCAACUAAGUCGGACGUGAAAUCCCUCGGCUUAACCGGGGAACUGCGUCCGAUACUGGAUGGCUUGAGUUUGGGAGAGGGAUGCGGAAUUCCAGGUGUAGCGGUGAAAUGCGUAGAUAUCUGGAGGAACACCGGUGGCGAAGGCGGCAUCCUGGACCAACACUGACGCUGAUGAGCGAAAGCUAGGGUAGCAAACGGG
Molecule: ribosomal RNA, 253 nt
Filed under: uncultured bacterium
Lineage: Bacteria
Description: partial 16S ribosomal RNA
Rfam family: Bacterial small subunit ribosomal RNA
Source: RNAcentral